RNAcentral lists this ribosomal RNA (817 nucleotides) under Pleurotheciella submersa. Its description in RNAcentral is "LSU rRNA". It matches the Rfam family "Eukaryotic large subunit ribosomal RNA", at positions 114 to 963 of the family's 3401-position model. The record is from RNAcentral. Lineage: Eukaryota; Fungi; Ascomycota; Sordariomycetes; Pleurotheciales; Pleurotheciaceae.
UUUGAAAUCCGGCUUUCGGGCCCGACUUGUAAUCUGCAGAUGAGUCUUUUGGUAAAGCGCCGUCCAAGUUCCCUGGAACGGGACGCCGGAGAGGGUGAGAGCCCCGUACCGACGUGCGCCUAGCCUUUGCAAAGCUCAUUCGAAGAGUCGAGUAGUUUGGAAAUGCUGCUCUAAUUGUGGGGUAAAUCUCCCAUAAGGCUAAAUACUGGCCAGAGACCGAUAGCGCACAAGUAGCGUGAGCGAAAGAUGAAAAGAGCCUUGAACAAGGGCGUCAAAAAGCAUGUGAAAUUGUUAUGGGGGAAGCGCUCAAUGCCAGACGUGGUGGUGGCUGGUUACCCGGCGUUCUUCGCCGGCGCACUCGGUCGCCGCCAGGCCAGCAUCAGUUCGGCCCGGGGCCCACUGCCGCUCGGAACGUGGCUCUUCGGAGUGUUAUAGCCUUGCGGUGACGUCCUGGACCGGACUGAGGAACGCGCAUCUGCCCGGAUGCUGGCUUAAUGGCUUUUAGCGACCCGUCUUGAAACACGGACCAAGGAGUUGACCUAGUAUGCGAGUGUUUGGGUGUAAAGCCCUCACGCGCAGUGAAAGCGAACGCAGGUGGGAGCUUCGGCGCACCAUCGACCGAUCCUGAAGUUUACGGAUGGAUUUGAGUAGGAGCAUACUGGGUCUGACCCGAAAGAAGGUGAACUAUGCAUGAAUAGGGUGAAGCCAGAGGAAACUCUGGUGGAGGCUCGCAGCGGUUCUGACGUGCAAAUCGAUCGUCAAAUUUGUGCAUGGGGGCGAAAGACCAAUCGAACCUUCUAGUAGCUGGUUCCUGCCG